This 542-nucleotide small RNA is filed under the name Pan troglodytes (chimpanzee). RNAcentral's name for it is "processed transcript". The record is from RNAcentral. Lineage: Eukaryota; Metazoa; Chordata; Mammalia; Primates; Hominidae.
AGCAGCCAGCCCGGCCCGCCAGCGCCCGUCCGCAGCCGCCCGCCAGACGCGCCCAGUAUGAGGGAGAUCGUGCACAUCCAGGCCGGCCAGUGCGGCAACCAGAUCGGGGCCAAGAUGAGGACACUGAGACACAGAAUCCUACUGACCUGCGCAAGGUCACACAGCUGGGAAGGGUGAGGGAAGGAUCUGUGAACCCAGCAGGCCCAGCCCCUGAGUCUAGGCUCUGCUCGGCAGCUGUCAUGGGAGCAGAGUCUGAGAAGCACUGCAGGCACCUGCUCUAGGGGGAGAAAGGUGGAGGUGGCAGGUAGAGAGAGGAUGACCCCUGGGAGCUGAGACGAUGCCAGCCUGACACGGACAGGCUGGGUGAUCUCAGGCAAGUCGCUUCCCAUUUGGGACCCCAAGGACCCUUCUGCAGACCCAGCUGGGGGUCCCCGAUGAGACUGGCUCUCAGAGUCCCUAUGAGUCCCAUCAGCUGAGGCCAGUAAUGUCCUGGUACCAUCACUGGACAUGGUUUGCUCUUCCAUGGAGGGGCAGGUGUAGCA